UCUCUUGUAAUUUUUCUCUUCAGGUACAUUUGAUCUUUAAACAUAAAUAUAUAGAGCCCUGUUCUAUUGAGGAGUUAGUGUAAUGUUGACAAAACAUUUAUUCUAUUGUUUUAUACACAUUUUCACUUUGAACAAACCAGCAAAUGUUAGAAAAAGAAAAGUUGAUCACAUUUAGUAGGUUGAUCAUGAGUUGGAGUUGUUGUGCUCAUUUCAAGUUUCAGUCAUUAGAGAAGCUGUGAUCAGUCAGAAUAGAAAUGGACCUCAAGGGAUUCUCUGUAAAUUAUUGAAUUUUGUGCAUGAUUAUUUCCAUUAAAUGGAAGGCUGCUUUUAAUUCUAUUCUAUACAUAUAGUUAACUGUCACAUUUUUCUUUUGUUGUAUUUAUGAUUCAGAUUGUACACAAAUAUUGUUUAUGUUUGAAAUGCAGUCAGCAGUUGAAAUUUCAGUAGUCAGAUCUUUUUAACCAAACAUUUUAUUUAAAAAACCUUUUUGAUAGCAUUGACUUCCUCAUACAUGAUCUUAUGAACAUUAUGCACCAAGAAAUAAUAAACAUAAAAUACUCAGUUAA
Biomphalaria pfeifferi is the source of this 566-nucleotide non-coding RNA. NCBI's taxonomy places the organism in Eukaryota, Metazoa, Mollusca, Gastropoda, Planorbidae. The record is from the annotation of a GenBank genome assembly.